This is a long non-coding RNA of Hippocampus zosterae (dwarf seahorse), 312 nucleotides long. RefSeq lists it as uncharacterized. NCBI's taxonomy places the organism in Eukaryota, Metazoa, Chordata, Actinopteri, Syngnathiformes, Syngnathidae. The record is from RefSeq and is a predicted model, not a curated record. The transcript has 3 exons.
UGUCAACCUCUUUUAAGCUGCCAGUCAAGGCUCCUUGUGGCGCUGAUACCAGAGAACAACAUGACCUUUGAACAACCUUUGAAUGCCAUGCAAAGAGAGGUCCUGGUGGCUGUUGGGAGUGGUGCUGUUAAUGGCUGCCAGUGCCACCCAAGAACACAGUAAAGGAAAGGCGAUUGUGCUUUAACACGGAGAUGGCAUCCAGGAAUCGGAUGAAAGACCAGCGUCCAUUGUGAAAGAUGUGACGCUGGCAAGAAAUAUUGGAGCUGUGACGACAACCGCGAUCGGCGAGCGACCAAGGGAGGACGUUACAAG